Molecule: non-coding RNA, 121 nt
Organism: Picea glauca (white spruce)
Lineage: Eukaryota; Viridiplantae; Streptophyta; Pinopsida; Pinales; Pinaceae
Source: Rfam
ACAUGCCUACAACAUAACAUUAAUUCACCCGUUCCUAUUAGAACUCCGCAAUUAAGUGAGCUCGGGCUAGAGUAGUACUGGGAUGGGUGACUACCCGAGAAGUCCUAGUGUUUUACAUGCC